AGAGUUUGAUCCUGGCUCAGGAUGAACGCUGGCGGCGUGCUUAACACAUGCAAGUCGAACGGGAAAUAUUUCAUUGAGACUUCGGUGGAUUUGAUCUAUUUCUAGUGGCGGACGGGUGAGUAACGAGUGGGUAACCUGCCUUAUACAGGGGGAUAACAGUCAGAAAUGGCUGCUAAUACCGCAUAAGCGCACAGAGCUGCAUGGCUCAGUGUGAAAAACUCCGGUGGUAUAAGAUGGACCCGCGUUGGAUUAGCUUGUUGGCGGGGUAACGGCCCACCAAGGCGACGAUCCAUAGCCGGCCUGAGAGGGUGAACGGCCACAUUGGGACUGAGACACGGCCCAGACUCCUACGGGAGGCAGCAGUGGGGAAUAUUGCACAAUGGGGGAAACCCUGAUGCAGCGACGCCGCGUGAAGGAAGAAGUAUCUCGGUAUGUAAACUUCUAUCAGCAGGGAAGAUAGUGACGGUACCUGACUAAGAAGCCCCGGCUAACUACGUGCCAGCAGCCGCGGUAAUACGUAGGUGGCAAGCGUUAUCCGGAUUUACUGGGUGUAAAGGGUGUGUAGGCGGGAAAGCCAAGUCAGAUGUGAAAAAUCAUGGGCUCAACUCAUGACUUGCAUUUGAAACUGGUUUUCUUGAGUAUGGGAGAGGGUAAAAUGGAAUUCCCCGGUGUAGCGGUGAAAAUGCUAAAAAUAUCGGGAGGGAACACCAAGGGCGGAAAGGCGGUUUUACUGGACCCACAACUGACGCUGAUACACGAAAGCGUGGGGGAGCAAACAGGAUUAGAUACCCUGGUAGUCCCCGCCGUAAACGAUGAAUGCUAGGUGUAGGGGCAAUAGCUUCUGUGCCGGAGUUAACACAAUAAGCAUUCCACCUGGGGAGUACGGCCGCAAGGUUGAAACUCAAAGGAAUUGACGGGAGCCCGCACAAGCAGUGGAGUAUGUGGAUUAAUUCGACGCAACGCGAAGAACCUUACCAAAGCUUGACAUCCCGGAAAAAAGCCUAUAAAAAGCUAAUGCCCUUCGGGGAAUCCGGUGACAGGUGGUGCAUGGUUGUCGUCAGCUCGUGUCGUGAGAUGUUGGGUUAAGUCCCGCAACGAGCGCAACCCUUAUGAUCAGUUGCUACGCAAGAGAACUCUGAUCAGACUGCCGUUGACAAAACGGAGGAAGGUGGGGAUGACGUCAAAUCAUCAUGCCCCUUACGCUUUGGGCCUCACACGUACUACAAUGGCGCAAACAAAGGGAAGCAAUGCCGCGAGGCGGAGCAAAUCCCAUAAAAGGCGUCCCAGUUCGGACUGCAGGCUGCAACUCGCCUGCACGAAGUUGGAAUUGCUAGUAAUCGCGGAUCAGCAUGCCGCGGUGAAUACGUUCCUGGGCCUUGUACACACCGCCCGUCA
Molecule: ribosomal RNA, 1395 nt
Filed under: uncultured bacterium
Lineage: Bacteria
Description: 16S ribosomal RNA
Rfam family: Bacterial small subunit ribosomal RNA
Source: RNAcentral